UGCGGAAGGAUCAUUACCGAGUUUUCGAGCUCCGGCUCGACUCUCCCACCCUUUGUGAACGUACCUCUGUUGCUUUGGCGGCUCCGGCCGCCAAAGGACCUUCAAACUCCAGUCAGUAAACGCAGACGUCUGAUAAACAAGUUAAUAAACUAAAACUUUCAACAACGGAUCUCUUGGUUCUGGCAUCGAUGAAGAACGCAGCGAAAUGCGAUAAGUAAUGUGAAUUGCAGAAUUCAGUGAAUCAUCGAAUCUUUGAACGCACAUUGCGCCCCUUGGUAUUCCGGGGGGCAUGCCUGUUCGAGCGUCAUUACAACCCUCAAGCUCUGCUUGGAAUUGGGCACCGUCCUCACUGCGGACGCGCCUCAAAGACCUCGGCGGUGGCUGUUCAGCCCUCAAGCGUAGUAGAAUACACCUCGCUUUGGAGCGGUUGGCGUCGCCCGCCGGACGAACCUUCUGAACUUUUCUCAAGGUUGACCUCGGAUCAGGUAGGGAUACCCGCUGAACUUAAGCA
Molecule: ribosomal RNA, 511 nt
Filed under: Lasiodiplodia theobromae
Lineage: Eukaryota; Fungi; Ascomycota; Dothideomycetes; Botryosphaeriales; Botryosphaeriaceae
Description: eukaryotic LSU rRNA
Rfam family: 5.8S ribosomal RNA (bases 154-307)
Source: RNAcentral